Molecule: transfer RNA, 65 nt
Filed under: Cephenemyia stimulator
Lineage: Eukaryota; Metazoa; Arthropoda; Insecta; Diptera; Oestridae
Description: tRNA-His
Source: RNAcentral
AUUUAAAUAGUUUAAUAAAAAUAUUGAUUUGUGAUGUCAAAGAUAAGAUUGUUUCUUUUUAAAUC